Molecule: ribosomal RNA, 492 nt
Filed under: uncultured bacterium
Lineage: Bacteria
Description: partial 16S ribosomal RNA
Rfam family: Bacterial small subunit ribosomal RNA
Source: RNAcentral
AGUGAACGCUGGCGGUAGGCCUAACACAUGCCAGUCGAACGGCAGCACAGUAAGAGCUUGCUCUUACGGGUGGCGAGUGGCGGACGGGUGAGGAAUACAUCGGAAUCUACUUUUUCGUGGGGGAUAACGUAGGGAAACUUACGCUAAUACCGCAUACGACCUACGUGUGAAAGCAGGGGAUCUUCGGACCUUGCGCGAUUGAAUGAGCCGAUGUCGGAUUAGCUAGUUGGCGGGGUAAAGGCCCACCAAGGCGACGAUCCGUAGCUGGCCUGAGAGGAUGAUCAGCCACACUGGAACUGAGACACGGUCCAGACUCCUACGGGAGGCAGCAGUGGGGAAUAUUGGACAAUGGGCGCAAGCCUGAUCCAGCCAUACCGCGUGGGUGAAGAAGGCCUUCGGGUUGUAAAGCCCUUAUGUUGGGAAAGAAAAGCAGCAGGUUAAUACCCCGCUGUUCUGACGGUACCCAAAGAAUAAGCACCGGCUAACUUCGUG